GAUUAAAUAUUUAUAGGAUAGAGAUGGGCUCGCGUGACAUUAGCUAGUUGGUAGGGUAACGGCUUACCAAGGCGACGAUGUCUAGGGGCUCUGAGAGGAGAAUCCCCCACACUGGUACUGAGACACGGACCAGACUCCUACGGGAGGCAGCAGUAAGGAAUAUUGGUCAAUGGGCGGAAGCCUGAACCAGCCAUGCCGCGUGCAGGAUGACUGCCCUAUGGGUUGUAAACUGCUUUUGUCCAGGAAUAAACCUAAAUACGUGUAUUUAGCUGAAUGUACUGGAAGAAUAAGGAUCGGCUAACUCCGUGCCAGCAGCCGCGGUAAUACGGAGGAUCCGAGCGUUAUCCGGAUUUAUUGGGUUUAAAGGGUGCGUAGGCGGCCUAUUAAGUCAGGGGUGAAAUACGGUGGCUCAACCAUCGCAGUGCCUUUGAUACUGAUGGGCUUGAAUCCAUUUGAAGUGGGCGGAAUAAGACAAGUAGCGGUGAAAUGCAUAGAUAUGUCUUAGAACUCCGAUUGCGAAGGCAGCUCACUAAGCUGGUAUUGACGCUGAUGCACGAAAGCGUGGGGAUCGAACAGGAUUAGAUACCCUGGUAGUCCACGCCCUAAACGAUGAUAACUCGAUGUUGGCGAUAGACAGCCAGCGUCCCAGCG
RNAcentral lists this ribosomal RNA (651 nucleotides) under Sphingobacterium multivorum. Its description in RNAcentral is "bacterial SSU rRNA". It matches the Rfam family "Bacterial small subunit ribosomal RNA", at positions 199 to 853 of the family's 1533-position model. The record is from RNAcentral. Lineage: Bacteria; Pseudomonadati; Bacteroidota; Sphingobacteriia; Sphingobacteriales; Sphingobacteriaceae.